GCCUAGGACUCUGAACAUGCUACGAAGUUGCAUUUAAUCUCUCCCCUUCCCCACCAUUCUUAAAUCUUAAGACUGAAACCGAAACCGGAGUAGCAGCCUUGAUUUUCUGACUAAUCCUUCCUUAUCAGACUCUUUGAGAACUAAAGUAGCUGGAAAUUCUGUCUGCAAGUAUUGAAGCAUAGUCGACCCCAGGCUCAGCUAAAUCCAAGCUUCAUACUUUUGAUGCUAAUGCCAUAUAUAGUUCGUGAUGAUCGAUCGAGCAUCUCUGCGAUACCCGUAUACAAGUACUUUACUUCUCCGUAUACAGGGUAUGAGUAGAUUCGGACCUUCAACCCAUAGGGAAGAAAAUAUAGUCUUGACCAAUUGAGUUAUACUUGUACCAGCAUACAAGUAGUGGAGUUUAAGACAAUCAAGUAAGAAUGAAAUUUAUAACUACGGGAAAAAACCUGUCAUCUCAGUUAUAGUUUGAACUUUCGAAUUUAUAGAGUAAGCUGUUGUUUGAAGAUUAAAAUAAAUCGAAAGGAAAUAGGAAAUA
Non-coding RNA from Momordica charantia (bitter melon), 535 nucleotides. The record is from RefSeq and is a predicted model, not a curated record. NCBI's taxonomy places the organism in Eukaryota, Viridiplantae, Streptophyta, Magnoliopsida, Cucurbitales, Cucurbitaceae.